Long non-coding RNA from Centruroides sculpturatus (bark scorpion), 1358 nucleotides. RefSeq lists it as uncharacterized. The record is from RefSeq and is a predicted model, not a curated record. Lineage: Eukaryota; Metazoa; Arthropoda; Arachnida; Scorpiones; Buthidae. The transcript has 3 exons.
CUUGCACAUCAAAAUAUCUCUAUUAACAUGUGCCCAAAAAUGCACUGAUGGCAAGACAAAUUGACAUCACUUAUCCCCAUAUUCACCAAUGUGAGUUAAAUAGAGAGUUGAUGAACUCGAAGUCAGAUUAUGAGUUACUCUUCUUUCAUAUUCAGAUAAAAAUAUAACUCUAGAGUUAAUGUUUUAAAACAGUCCUGCAUUUGAGAUCAAAUAAGUCUUCUUUCAUAAGCAGUGUCUUGAUUGGUUGAAAGCAAACACAUGUAGAAAAUGGAGGAAAGUCAAAUGGAGAAUAGUGCAUGCCAUAAUUUCACAAUUUCAAAAAAGAAGUACUGCUCAAAUUAGUCAAAAAAUACAAAUAUAUAACAGAAGAUAAAAAAACAAAUGCAGUUUCUUCCAAACAGAAGAGAGAUACCUGGGAAGUAUUAACCAAAGAAUACAAUGGUAUCCUAGAUGUUACACUCAGAAAAAGCAAGCAGCUAUGGGACAGUUAUAAAAACUUUCAAAAAAUGCCAUAAAAAAACAGUUGCAGAAAAAAAAUAAAUUAUUUAAAAAGAGGAGGAGGCAGAGGGUUUCCUUCUCCUGUUUUUAAAUAAUUUAGUUUUUUUCUAAAUUUUUAAAUAAUUCGGAUGUGAUGGCUGAAAAACUGCUUUCAAUGGGUAUCCUAACUCAGCCUUUAGAAAACGACUUUGAUAGUGAUGCCCAACUAAAACAACAGAGAUAGCUACAGCUUCUGUAGUAAGGGCUCAAGAUAUAUCUGAUGUAUCUGCAUCUGAAGUUUCAGCUAUACCACAAAUUACUAAUGUAAUGUUUGUGGAUGUCAUUGAACCCUCUGUAGAUUUUUAUAUUGAAGAAUUUCAAAAUAUUGAUAAUCAUCAAUUAAAUCUUAAAAAUAAUUAAUUCCAUAAAAAUACUGUUUCAACUUAUAAUGAAAUAAUCACCUUUUUUUAUUUAUUUGUUGAAACUGUGUCGUCUUCUUGUUUUUCUUGUGUCAAUAAAUUCACCAAGUUGUGACAUUGAAUCAAAGAAAUAAUCACCUUUCAAUCAUAGUUCCACUAAUGGCAAAAAUUAUCAAACUAAGAAGAAAAGAAAACAAACUGAAGCCAUCUAUGAACAGGCGAAAAUGAGAAAGGAAACUCUUGAAAAAGGGCAUAAAUUAAAAAUCAAAUUUAUGACUAAGGAGCAUAAUAUGAAAAUGCUAUUGAUGAAAAAAACAGAAGUGCAGGAAAAGAUUUUACAAAUUUUAGAAAAUAAUCCAUCUGAUUUAAGACUUCAACUAACAAAUUUGUAAUCUACUUUUCUGCAAAAUUAUAUAUAUAUUAGUGUAAAAAGUGUUUUUAUUUUCUAAUAUAAAAUUUUUU